Fundulus heteroclitus (mummichog) is the source of this 523-nucleotide long non-coding RNA. RefSeq lists it as uncharacterized. The transcript has 2 exons. The record is from RefSeq and is a predicted model, not a curated record. NCBI's taxonomy places the organism in Eukaryota, Metazoa, Chordata, Actinopteri, Cyprinodontiformes, Fundulidae.
UUUUAGGUUGGCGGAGGAAAGCAAUUUAUUUUCUUCCAGCAAGAAAAGCCAUAGUUCAGAUUUAGAUCCCAGCCAGGACUUUUCCACCUGCAGGUCAUUUCCACGGGUUCCCUCCGGGUGCUCCGGCUUACCCCCAAAAAGCAAGCUCAUUUCCCCUCUGGACGCUUGAGAUGCGCACGUUCCCACCUAAAUGUCACGGUCCAGCCGCAGACGUCGCCUCAGGACCUUGUCGCGUGUUCUGUCUGUACGAUUAUUAUGCAGUCUGUUUUAUAGUAAGGCAUAAUGAAACUUCAUGUACUAGCUAAGAAGAAUUCUAGAGGAGAGCAGGAUGGAGUGGGACCACCACAACCCCGACCUACCCGGUCCAUACUCUGACCCCAGCCCAGAUGACCCACGAACCGAGCGGGCCAACCAACCAUUAUUGCCUUUCUGUGUUUUCAGCCAUGUCCCUGGAACUCGAUGCACAUUCAGGGAAGUAAAGCUCCUCUGUUGUGAACAUAAUUGCAAAAUAAAAAAAAAAAAA